This 1746-nucleotide long non-coding RNA is filed under the name Homo sapiens (human). RNAcentral describes it as "non-protein coding LINC01184:6". Lineage: Eukaryota; Metazoa; Chordata; Mammalia; Primates; Hominidae. The record is from RNAcentral.
GAACGGCGCGAUCGGGGAGCAGGCGCGGCUACGCUCCGCCUCAGUGAUGUCGCCGGGAGGAUCUCCGCGCGGCUACCUCCUCUUCCGCCGCCUUCCUCCCACGCCUUCACCUCCCUCCCCCGCCGCGCUCUGCGGCGAAAAGGAGCGGGCUCCCAGGCCACCUCCCCUCUCUCCACCCAGGGGCCGCGCGUCAGUGGACCUGCAGCCCAGGCAACGGGGCUGCGGACGGCGCGCGUGCCCUGCCUCGCCUCACGCCGGUAGCUGAUGCUCCCGCGGCAGCUGCCACCCCAGCGCCCCAGCCACGGCUUCAGAGGCUCUCGCACGCUGGCUUUUUUUUUUUCCCCCCGCUUUGGUGAACUCGCAGUACUUGGGCUGAGCCCGAAAUCUCGCGAGAUGCUGCAGGCGUCAGUGCGGCUUCCCACUAGGCGCGUGGUACCCGAGGCCGGGCCGGAGCCGCAGGCCAGCCGCGAUUCCUUCGGGCGAUGCUGGGGGCUUUCCGGUCGGGGCCGCAGCCGCUUCCGGAGCCGCGGGCGAGGUGCGUUCCCCAGCCUGGUUUGCUCUGGGCUCUGACCCGCCGCCGCGAAUCUCCGCUCGUAACUCCGGGCCUGAACCUGGAGGAGGGAGGAUUUCCUCUGUGCAGCUUUCGAGCGGUAGACUCACCCUGCCAGGCAGACCUAGAUUGGCAUAACCAGAGAUCAGUUCCAGUUGUGAUGCAGUGGGUGUCUACACACUUCUGAUGACACCUUUAUUUUAAAAGCUGAUGUUCCAAGGUGCAAGCGGUCUUCUCUGUCUUCUUUAUGGCCAGUAAAAUUCUCCAGAAGAGAUUUAUGGCAGCCUCACUCCCAGUAGUUUCUGCAUUUAGUGAGAUAAGGAAUGGAUUUUCUUCUGUGUAUUGCUGACACGAACAGGAGACGGAAAUACUGAGUAGAAGAGGGCGGUUCCCUGGCUAAGGCCCCACCCUCAAGCCUGGAUACCCGCGGCCCUAAAUGAGAAGAGGCGUUUCUGUUUGGGGCCCAAAAAGUUGCUUUUUGACCCACCACGCCCCCUAUCCUGCCCCCAUAUAAACCCCAAACCCCAACCUCCAGAGCAUACCAGCAGGUGAGGAGAUACGAGGCAAGCCGACUGACGGCAAAACGACGUAGCAGAGAAAGAGAGAAGAGGAGGGACGUCUGGACACCGAGAGAUGUUUGGCUCGGGGCAGUCAGAGCGGAGUCCAGCCCCUGGGCGGCCCAACUCCAGGGGAAGAUCACCUUCCCACUUCAUCCAUCCCCACCCUUCCAGCUCCCCAUCCAUCCUGCUGAAAGCCAUUUCCACCACUCAAUAAAACCUCGCAUUCAUCCUUCAAGUCCGUGUGUGACCCGAUUUUUCCUGGAUUCUGGAAAAGAGCUCGGAAUACAGAAAGCUGUCCCCUGGUCCUUUGCCCUUGUGAAAAAGCAGAAGGUCCAUUGAGCUGGUUAACACUCCAGCUGUCUGUGGUGGCCAAGCUGAAAGAGCUUUGUAACACUGGGGUUGCAGGCACCCACCUCUAGACGCUACCGCAGAGCCAGAGCCCAAAGCCCUCACCCCGGCCUCUGCACUUGCCCAUCUGCGUGCUCCCCCUCUCGCAAGGGGUUUCUGCAGAGGGGGCUACUGAACAGGUGAGCCACACCCCUGUCGCACGCCCUGCAAGGGGAAUCAGGGAACUCUUCCGUUUCAUUGCUUUGACCACAUCCUAUAAAUCUUGUUCUCCUUGUCUUUCAGCUCCAA